Aquila chrysaetos chrysaetos is the source of this 713-nucleotide long non-coding RNA. RefSeq lists it as uncharacterized. Lineage: Eukaryota; Metazoa; Chordata; Aves; Accipitriformes; Accipitridae. The transcript is spliced from 3 exons. The record is from RefSeq and is a predicted model, not a curated record.
AGGGAAGCUCACUAGAAGAACAGAGAAUACAGUAAUAAGAUCAUCAAGAACAAUUCUGGAACCAGAAGCAUCAUGGGCUUCUAUUCCCAGGAGUUUAGCAAAGCUCUUUACAAGAAUUGCAGCAUCAGCUCCUUUCAGUCUUACUGUGCUCUGAUGUACACACUUCGGGAGCUUUCUGCCAUUUUCUGAGUUGUGAUGCCUCCUUCCUCAGCCUCUUUGACCUGCAUUUCUUGUGAAGAUGUUAUUUCCUUCUUACCAGCAGCACUCCAUUGCUUUUUGCAACAGUUGUUGGACAUACCAUAUUCCAUCUCGGCAGGGACCUGGUUUAAAGGUAGACAACAUGCAACAUGUAAAGACUGGCAUUCACUCUGUGCAAGAGCCAACGAACUCCCCAAACAAGGCUGACAUCCUGGUCUGCUACCUAUAUGUAUGUAUAUUGUGAGACAGCUUAAGGACAAGAAGUCUCUAAUGAAAACAUCAGACUAAGUUCCAGACAGCUACUCAUCUCUCCUAGUCCUUCUAAACCUAUUUCCUACCAGAAAAAGGAGCCUUGCAUGAAAUACCACUUUAUGCAGAAAGUUAAUGGAUCUUUCCUAGCCACUCAGUCAAAUGUAAUGUGAUAAUUCUUAUUUCACAAAUGGGAAUGACAAAGCAAUGAAAUGUGAACACCCAGAAGUGGACAUUAAACACAAGUUGGUUUUUUUCCACUGUAA